Etheostoma cragini (Arkansas darter) is the source of this 322-nucleotide long non-coding RNA. RefSeq lists it as uncharacterized. The record is from RefSeq and is a predicted model, not a curated record. The transcript is spliced from 3 exons. NCBI's taxonomy places the organism in Eukaryota, Metazoa, Chordata, Actinopteri, Perciformes, Percidae.
UCACUUUAUGUGUUUUUUUCCCCCAGCCUGUCCAUGGUCCCCCAGUGUCUAGAAAUGGGGAUAAGUGUAAACCGAGCCCUGGGUAUCCUUCUCUGCCUUUGAGAAAAUGAAAGCUCAGGUGGGCCGAUCUGGAAUCUUACCCCUUAUGACCUCAUAAGGUUACCACCAAUCUCUCUGCUUUGCCUGCCCAGAGAAUUUGGCCCACCAAUAAGAGAGAGACAUCAUGGCUUCCAAACUAUCAAAGUGGCAGUUUGUCAAGGCCCCCCCCUCCUCAAAAGCUAUAGACUCAGAAAUAGCACAUCCCAAAGAAAGCUCAUUGUGG